GGCAUGUAGCUCAAUGGCAGAUCACUUGCCCGGCACGUGUGAAUCCUGGGUUCAAUCCCCACCAGUGCUG
This 70-nucleotide transfer RNA is filed under the name Marmota monax (woodchuck). RNAcentral's name for it is "tRNA.Ala". The record is from RNAcentral. Lineage: Eukaryota; Metazoa; Chordata; Mammalia; Rodentia; Sciuridae.